RNAcentral lists this ribosomal RNA (404 nucleotides) under uncultured bacterium. RNAcentral describes it as "partial 16S ribosomal RNA". It matches the Rfam family "Bacterial small subunit ribosomal RNA", at positions 28 to 526 of the family's 1533-position model. The record is from RNAcentral.
GACGAACGCUGGCGGCGUGCCUAAUACAUGCAAGUCGAACGCAGUGGGGACGGGUGAGUAACACGUGGGUAACCUCCCAUCAGAGGGGGAUAACACUUGGAAACGACUGCUAAACCGCAUCUGAAGGAGGGGAUUGCGUCUGAUUAGCUAGUUGGUGAGGUAACGGCUCACAAAGGCCACGAUGCAUAGCCGACCUGAGAGGGUGAGCGGCCACACUGGGACUGAGACACGGCCCAGACUCCUACGGGAGGCAGCAGUAGGGAAUCUUCGGCAAUGGACGAAAGUCUGACCGAGCAACGCCGCGGGAGUGAAGAAGGUUUUCGGAUCGUAAAACUCUGUUGUUAGAGAAGCGGUAUCUAACCAGAAAGCCACGGCUAACUACGUGCCAGCAGCCGCGGUAAUAC